RNAcentral lists this ribosomal RNA (876 nucleotides) under Salmonella enterica subsp. enterica serovar Enteritidis. RNAcentral describes it as "partial 23S ribosomal RNA". It matches the Rfam family "Bacterial large subunit ribosomal RNA", at positions 689 to 1566 of the family's 2925-position model. Lineage: Bacteria; Pseudomonadati; Pseudomonadota; Gammaproteobacteria; Enterobacterales; Enterobacteriaceae. The record is from RNAcentral.
CGGGCGUUAAGUUGCAGGGUAUAGACCCGAAACCCGGUGAUCUAGCCAUGGGCAGGUUGAAGGUUGGGUAACACUAACUGGAGGACCGAACCGACUAAUGUUGAAAAAUUAGCGGAUGACCUGUGGCUGGGGGUGAAAGGCCAAUCAAACCGGGAGAUAGCUGGUUCUCCCCGAAAGCUAUUUAGGUAGCGCCUCGUGAAUUCAUCUCCGGGGGUAGAGCACUGUUUCGGCUAGGGGGCCAUCCCGGCUUACCAACCCGAUGCAAACUGCGAAUACCGGAGAAUGUUAUCACGGGAGACACACGGCGGGUGCUAACGUCCGUCGUGAAGAGGGAAACAACCCAGACCGCCAGCUAAGGUCCCAAAGUCAUGGUUAAGUGGGAAACGAUGUGGGAAGGCCCAGACAGCCAGGAUGUUGGCUUAGAAGCAGCCAUCAUUUAAAGAAAGCGUAAUAGCUCACUGGUCGAGUCGGCCUGCGCGGAAGAUGUAACGGGGCUAAACCAUGCACCGAAGCUGCGGCAGCGACACUGUGUGUUGUUGGGUAGGGGAGCGUUCUGUAAGCCUGUGAAGGUGUGUCGUGAGGCAUGCUGGAGGUAUCAGAAGUGCGAAUGCUGACAUAAGUAACGAUAAAGCGGGUGAAAAGCCCGCUCGCCGGAAGACCAAGGGUUCCUGUCCAACGUUAAUCGGGGCAGGGUGAGUCGACCCCUAAGGCGAGGCCGAAAGGCGUAGUCGAUGGGAAACGGGUUAAUAUUCCCGUACUUGGUGUUACUGCGAAGGGGGGACGGAGAAGGCUAUGUUGGCCGGGCGACGGUUGUCCCGGUUUAAGCGUGUAGGCUGGUUUUCCAGGCAAAUCCGGAAAAUCAAGGCUGAGGCGUGA